Molecule: long non-coding RNA, 3361 nt
Organism: Actinia tenebrosa (Australian red waratah sea anemone)
Lineage: Eukaryota; Metazoa; Cnidaria; Anthozoa; Actiniaria; Actiniidae
Source: RefSeq, a predicted model, not a curated record
UAACAAUUUGUUUAUUUUUAUUUUAUUUUCUUAUUUUCUUCGACGUUGCUUUUCUAUUGCUUUUUUGUUCUUGGGGUGCAUAUAACGUCGCAGCCGCCACGUUGGUUGACAAAACAAAGCUUUCCUCAUUAGCUUCUCUUGUUAGAUCAACCAACAUGGCGGCUGUUUCAUUGGUAUCUUCCUAAUCUUGAGGUGCAUGUUACGUCAUAGCCGCCAUCUUGGUUGACGAUAACAAAGCUUUCCUCAUUAGCUUCUCUUGUUAGAUCAACCAACAUGGAGGCUGUUUGAUUGGUAUUCAUAUCUCGAGAGAUCUUGAAUUUAAAUAUACAAUAUAUUUAAUAUCCGAUUGAAAGAUCUUUUCUUUACCCAUUAGUUAACAACUUAUUUCUCUUUUUAACAUGUUUCUUCCUAAGUUUCUACAUUAACAUUUAAUUCCAUAACUUUAAUCACUGACUUAUAAAACUCCUAAAUUUUUUCGAAAUUUUCACUUUCUACUAAGCAUUUUUCCCACUAAAAUUUCAAAUCUGGCGUCAACUCUGCCUCUUACUUUGCCAAUCUCGUCUCUGCUCUAUUUCUAAAGAAGAGGCAAAAUUACAUUGUAUGAAAAAACAGGGAAAGAUGCAUAAAUAUAGACGGUGAUGAGUGAGAAAAAUAGACAUUAUUUGUCGAGGUGCGUGAAAUGCUUUCCCACUUCAGACCGUGUCAUUCCCUAGAGUAUCAUUUCUUUGUUUAACAGUUGCGCAUGAAAUGACACAUGAUCAUGGAUACAAUUCAAACAAAAAUGUUAUUCUCAAGGGAAAUGAUACGUGGUCUGAUACGGAAAAUUAAUACCAACAUUUUUAGCCGGUAUGUGAAAGUCUUAUAAGUAAUGAUAUAUAUUUGAUUCUCAAAUGAAUCGAUAAUUCAAUGAUAAUGUUAUCUAUACUCAUGUAGAUGGCUAUGUUGAUUUAGUGAUGAUCGUAGUAACACUCCACCUACAACAACUGCUGAUCUGAGAGAAAAUGUUAGUCGAUCAAAAUGGAGAAAAUUUGCAAAACUGAGGGGUCAUUUUCCUCUUGAAACCACGGAUUAAAUAAAGUUGCUAAUACAUGCUUGACAAUAUCCCCAAACUUUUCGGCUCAACGAAAAACACAGGUCCGUCAAUGAAUGCGUAAGAACAGAAUUUGUACUAAAUAUUUAUUAAUGAAGGUGAGUAUGAAAUUCGACUUUUCGAAAAUUAACAGCAAAAUAUUUCUCGAUCUCUUUAAUCUGGGUACGCGCGAUAUAUUUUGGUCUAGCUUGGGCACGCACUUAAUACAAUGUUUGAUUUGUCAUGGCUUACGUCGUAGUAGCAGUUCCGAAGUUGUAGAAACGCGUUGCAUUAUGUUUUUUUUUGGGACGGACGCUUCAUCAUUUGACACUUCAUGCAUCAAGAAAUGAAAGAUAUUAAACACUUUUUUUUCACUUUUCACUAUCAGCAAUUGAAAAAAACGCCAAAUAUAUCAUUCGUAUCAAAGUGCCCCCUGAAACAUAACCGCGAUGUAACAUGUUAUGCAACCGCUACGGAACGGCCAAUAGACCGUUUUCUCAAGGUUGCGUUCGCAUCCAUAAUUUAAAGAACUUGACGGGCAACUAUAUUUUAUUAUCAUGCAUUGCUAUAAUUUUUUCGACAAUAACUCAUGAAAUUGAUUGUUCUCUUUCUUAAAUAAGUUAAUUAGUUUUGUUGAACGUCAAGUUAAAUGCGCACGCAACCAUGAGAAAACGGUCUAUAGAGCUUUCAAGUAUGAAGUUAAUCAUACGGAUCGACAAAAGACUUCCGGGUCCAAGUCAAAAACGAAAAGGGUUCUAUAAAAAAAAUUCUUACUUUUUUCUUCACGACAGGAUUUGUUGUACGACGUUUUGUUUGUUUUAGUCUAGUUUUAAGUCUAGAGGGGGAAUAAUCGGUAUUUUCCAGAAUCUUGGUGCACUCACUAUAGAUCAACAGCCCUYUAAGAUAUGUUUAAGCAAGAGCGCGACCUCAAAAUGGGUAGCGCGCGAUGAGACUGAUGUAGAGGAACGUUUGAAGACUAAUCAAAUCAGCUUCUAGGAUCCGAUUCCAAAGUUACUGCUACUUUCAUAAACAUGCGAACUCGAUAGGUGCGAGCUGCAUGCUGAGAUUUGGUUUAUCGCUUGUGUCAAUCAAACCUAAUYAGUCGGUACCUUUCAUAUUUUUUGACUAGCGGCAGCGAAAAACCAAAUUUCAGCRUGCAACUCGGAGACACAGAGUUCGCAUAUUUAUGAAAAUUGCAGUAAAUCAAUGAGAAYAUUUCUACUUUAUUUCAGGGUGCACACAGGUAUUUGAAAAUUAUUUGAAUUUGAUUUUUUUGGUAACUUGUUCCUAAAAAGUUUUUGAAAUGUCCUUGAAACUGCAUUAAUCAUCCUUAAAAAAUAAAGCAAUUGUCAUAUACUGAUUUUACAAAUGAUAAAUUUGAUAUUCAGGACUAUCUUGAUUCCUUAUAUCAGAGGAAACAGAAUUUUACUUGAAACAAAAACUACAAAAGGGAGUUUUUCCUGUCCUUGAAAAUAUCGUAAAACCCCUUUUAAAUGUCCUUGAGAAGUCUUUGAAAAAAAUAGAGGAUACCUGUGUGCACCCUGUUUUAUCGGAUUUUUUUGAACAGUUGGACCUGGGCGGAUACGUCACGAAUUAAAAGCUCUCCAACCAUGGACAAGAUUACCCACGAUUCUCUGGGAGAACAUUUUUCGCCCCAUGUAAGGUAAUCCGAAAUCCACGAAAUUUUAGGCUUUGCAAUCCGGAAUCCAGGCCUUGGAAUCCGGAAUCCAGUUUAUAAUUGAAUCCGGAAUCCAACCUUUUGGAAUCCGGAAUCCAUUACUUUGAAAUUCAAAGUAUACACUCAAGUGCUAUCGCCUCGACCUAGACUGAACCGAUGUAGACCCUCCCCCACUGUGUAAUAUCUCCACCAAGAAUAUCUGUCAUAGGAUGCUGAUUUCAUAGAUAGGCGAUUCUACUUAUACUGGCAAGUAUAUCAAAUAUAUUUUUCAGAUAUAGUAAUACAAAAGUUUUGGAAUCCGGAAUCCAGACCCUUGGAAUCCGCAAUCCAGAGUCUCGGAAUCCGGAAUCCAGCGCUUGGAAUCCGCAAUCCAGAGUCUCGGAAUCCGGAAUCCAGACCCUUGGAAUCCGGAAUCCACCAUAAGUUCGGAUUCCCUUACAUGGGGCGAUAUUUUCCAACGAAUGUUUGUUUGAGUGUUUUCUUCAGAGUUCUUUUUUUGUCUUCUCUUAAAACUUACUGCACYAAAAUCUUGUAUGAAUCUUUAUUGUUUCUAUGAAUCUCUCAAUAAUUGUUGCCUUUGUUUCACUUGAUUCUAAUAAAACUGUUCCUCUGGU